CCCUUAGAUGUUCUGGGCCGCACGCGUGCUACACUGAGUGGAUCAGCGGGUCAGGUUGCGCGAAAGCGUUUCCUAAUCUCUAAAUCCGCUCGUGAUGGGGAUUGACGGUUGCAAUUUUCUGUCAUGAACGAGGAAUACCUUGUAAGCGCGGGUCAUCAUCCCGCGCUGAAUACGUCCCUGCCCUUUGUACACACCGCCCGUCGCUCCUACCGAUUGAGUGGUCCGGUGAGGCUUUGGGAUCUGAGCGGAAAGAGCGUUUCGCUGUUUCUGCUCGGAAAACUCAGUCGAACCUUAUCAUUUAGAGGAAGGAGAAGUCGUAACA
RNAcentral lists this ribosomal RNA (322 nucleotides) under uncultured eukaryote. RNAcentral's name for it is "partial 18S ribosomal RNA". It matches the Rfam family "Eukaryotic small subunit ribosomal RNA", at positions 1470 to 1796 of the family's 1831-position model. The record is from RNAcentral.